UUCAAGAGAUAAAAACUCGCUACCUGUUCUCCCAAACGACAGACAGUCAACCGCUGUUCGCGCUCAUCCAAUAGUCCAUUCAAAGAUUUUGCGACAGCCUAUAAAGGUCACGUGAUCAAUAUAUUUGCAUGUUGGCACUCCCGCCUCCGAGUUCUGGGAGUUUGAUAAAGCACUGUCACUUGCCCGCCCUCGGCCAUUACGUGAAAAACAGUCACUGCAGCCCAUUCCACGAAACAGGAAACAGCAUGCCUCGUCUGUUGGAAUGUAUAUGGAAGUGCAGUUUCGCCAUCCUCGUCUUGUACAUGCUGUUUGUCAAAGCCGAAGACUCAACGAGCGAUGAUUUCCCACCUAGUUAAG
Molecule: long non-coding RNA, 357 nt
Organism: Gigantopelta aegis
Lineage: Eukaryota; Metazoa; Mollusca; Gastropoda; Neomphalida; Peltospiridae
Exons: 3
Source: RefSeq, a predicted model, not a curated record